UAAGAUGGGUCAUAAAAUUAAGGCGAUUAGGGAGAGACUAGAUGCCAUUGACGAAGAUAGGAAAAAGUAUGGACUUCACCAUGUGGAGCGUCCAGAGGCGUCAUUUUAUAGUAGGGGAAGGGACCAAACUAUCUCAUAUGUAGAUGAGAAACAAGUCAUUGGGAGGGAAAAUGAUAGAAAGGCAAUCAUAGAUCUUUUGUUAGACUCUAAUAUUGCAGAUAAUGUUUCAGUCAUUCCCAUUGUUGGGAUUGGUGGGUUAGGAAAGUCCACAUUAGCUCAAUAUGUUUUUAGCGAUGAAAACGUCAAAACUCAUUUUGAGCUGAAGCUGUGGGUUUGUGUCUCUGAAGUCUUUGAUCUAAAAGUAGUAGUAGAAAAGACAUUGAAAUCAAUUGGAAGGGAACCCGGAAACUUUGAAUUGGAUCAAUUGCAAACAAAUCUUCGAGAAGAAAUCAGGGGAAAGAAAUAUU
This 467-nucleotide unclassified non-coding RNA is filed under the name Hevea brasiliensis (rubber tree). The record is from RNAcentral. Lineage: Eukaryota; Viridiplantae; Streptophyta; Magnoliopsida; Malpighiales; Euphorbiaceae.